This 317-nucleotide ribosomal RNA is filed under the name uncultured bacterium. Its description in RNAcentral is "bacterial SSU rRNA". It matches the Rfam family "Bacterial small subunit ribosomal RNA", at positions 172 to 507 of the family's 1533-position model. The record is from RNAcentral.
UAUAUGCCUUUAAUACAUAAGUAUGCAAGGGAAACGCUUUAGUGCUAGAGGAUGGGUCUGUAUGGUAUCAGCUUGUUGGUGAGGUAAUGGCUCACCAAGGCUAUGACGCCUAACCUGGUUUGAGAGGAUGAUCAGUCACACUGGAACUGAGACACGGCCCAGACUCCUACGGGAGGCAGCAGUGGGGAAUAUUGCACAAUGGACGAAAGUCUGAUGCAGCAACGCCGCGUGGAGGAUGACACAUUUCGGUGCGUAAACUCCUUUUAUAUAGGAAGAUAAUGACGGUACUAUAUGAAUAAGCACCGGCUAACUCCGUG